This 662-nucleotide ribosomal RNA is filed under the name uncultured Flavobacteriales bacterium. RNAcentral's name for it is "bacterial SSU rRNA". It matches the Rfam family "Bacterial small subunit ribosomal RNA", at positions 90 to 750 of the family's 1533-position model. The record is from RNAcentral. Lineage: Bacteria; Pseudomonadati; Bacteroidota; Flavobacteriia; Flavobacteriales.
AGAGACCGGCGCACGGGUGCGUAACGCGUAUGCAAUCUACCUUUUACAGAGGGAUAGCCCAGAGAAAUUUGGAUUAAUACCUCAUAGUAUAGCAGUUUCGCAUGAAACCACUAUUAAAGUCACAACGGUAAAAGAUGAGCAUGCGUCCCAUUAGCUAGUUGGUAAGGUAACGGCUUACCAAGGCUACGAUGGGUAGGGGUCCUGAGAGGGAGAUCCCCCACACUGGUACUGAGACACGGACCAGACUCCUACGGGAGGCAGCAGUGAGGAAUAUUGGACAAUGGGCGCAAGCCUGAUCCAGCCAUGCCGCGUGCAGGAUGACGGUCCUAUGGAUUGUAAACUGCUUUUGUACGAGAAGAAACACUCCUAUGUAUAGGAGCUUGACGGUAUCGUAAGAAUAAGGAUCGGCUAACUCCGUGCCAGCAGCCGCGGUAAUACGGAGGAUCCAAGCGUUAUCCGGAAUCAUUGGGUUUAAAGGGUCCGUAGGCGGUUUAGUAAGUCAGUGGUGAAAGCCCAUCGCUCAACGGUGGAACGGCCAUUGAUACUGCUGAACUUGAAUUAUUAGGAAGUAACUAGAAUAUGUAGUGUAGCGGUGAAAUGCUUAGAGAUUACAUGGAAUACCAAUUGCGAAGGCAGGUUACUACUAAUUGAUUGACGCUGAU